AUGGAGGCCGCGCACGCAAACGGAAACUGGGCCGCCCUGCCCAGCGAUCUCCUGAGCUGCGUAGGCGCGCUCCUCGCCGUGCCUGGUCGCAUAUGCUUCCGCGCCGUGUGCCGCGCAUGGAGGGAAGCCAUCCCGGAAGAUCAAGCCCGCGCAAUGCCGGCGCCGUGGGUGAUCAUACCCCGCGUCGACGGCUGCACCGACUCCUUCAUCAUCCUCUCCGCGCCCACCAUGAACUCCUUCCGGUGGACGCCCCCGGGCGGCGCGCGCGCCCGCUGCGUCGGCUCCAACGGCAGCUGGCUCGCCAUCGUCACCGUCGUGGACGUCCGGAACCUCGCCAUCUCGCUGGUCAACCCGCUCACGGACGCGCGCGUUGAGCUGCCGCUCGUAACCGGCUGGCGAUGGGCGUUGGAUACCGAGCAUGAUCUCGAGUUUGAGCUGGACGUCGUCGUCCGGAAGGUGGCCUUCUCCCCGCUCGACGUGUUGGAGCCCCCCUUCAACGGCAUGGUCAUGUGCCGCAGUUACCACCUGGCUUUCUCCGGCGACGGCACGCUGCACGUGGUGUGGAGCCGGAGCGAGGGCGACGGAUACCCGCCAAGUUUCUACCUCCGGGACAUGGCGUGCGCUUCCAUCGCAUCUGGCGAGGAGAAGUGGACGCCGGCGAGGAGCAUCGUCGGCCGCGCGUUCCUCAUCGGGGAUCGCAACCAGUCCAUGUUGGUCCCCGUGGACAGCAACGGCUGGCUCAGACCCAACUCCAUCUACUUCACCAACAUCCCGCUCUGCGACCGUUUCGCCAUUGGAUGCCUUGGGCGUCGAGGCUUGUGGGCCAUGGACGUGGUCACCGGCCGGAUCACUUGGCCGCGGGCACCGACCGGCAUGGUCGGGAGGCCGUUGGGAUCGGAAUUGGACGUGGACUGGGCAAAAUCCCUUUGGUUCAUGCCCUGCUUGACACAACCCAGAUAA
This 960-nucleotide ribosomal RNA is filed under the name Triticum aestivum (bread wheat). RNAcentral's name for it is "partial small subunit ribosomal RNA". The record is from RNAcentral. Lineage: Eukaryota; Viridiplantae; Streptophyta; Magnoliopsida; Poales; Poaceae.